GAAAACUCGAAUUCCAGGACUUACGAGAUUUUUAGGGUCCUUUAGUAUACCGGUUUUGGAUUGCUGUUUUUGACUCUGUUCCACUUCGAACUAGUCAAAGUGUCUUUAACAAAAGUUGUUGGAAUUUAAAAGUUUUACAACUCUUAUUUGGGCAGAAACUUAAGUUUGCAUAUAAAAUUUCAAGCUUUAUUCCAAACUCCAAAAAGAGCUUCUUAGGGUUAUGAAGGUCAUUUCACUUGUUUAAUCAUGGAUUUAUCACUGGUUUAUAGUUAAAAGUACUUAAUUUAGGUAGAGUUGUUACA
This 302-nucleotide long non-coding RNA is filed under the name Setaria viridis. RNAcentral describes it as "long non-coding RNA (SVIR_LNC010830)". The record is from RNAcentral. Lineage: Eukaryota; Viridiplantae; Streptophyta; Magnoliopsida; Poales; Poaceae.